RNAcentral lists this long non-coding RNA (2148 nucleotides) under Micromonas commoda. RNAcentral describes it as "long non-coding RNA (MCOM_LNC000366)". The record is from RNAcentral. Lineage: Eukaryota; Viridiplantae; Chlorophyta; Mamiellophyceae; Mamiellales; Mamiellaceae.
CUCACACCCUUGAGCGCGGUGGUGGAAGAAAUGGCGAGGGACAUCUCGCGUGUGUGUUGGUGUGUGUAGUCGUUUGUGUGUGUGCUGUUAGCGAGACGACGCGAGAAUCCGUGUCUGAACCGCUGACGAUGGAAUCGCCAAGAGGUAACCGGCGGCCGCCGCGGUUAACUCGAUUAGUGCCUGUUCUCAGAACCAGGCGUUAGCGGAGCGCCUAAACGAGGCGCUCGCGCGUGCGUGAGGUGACGAUCCGCGACAACUGUUGGACCAGGGGGUAGCGAGGGGUGCUCGUCAGAAAACGGAAUAUUCCCGUGCCGUGGUCAAGGCUGGCCUCAACGCCGGGGGAAAGCUGAGGAUUGCGGGGGUCGGAGUGAGACGGCGUUCACCCUGACCGCGACGCGGCGUGAGGCGACGGUGCCCCGCGCGCCGCGGGUCAUCGAAAGCCUCACACCCUUGAGCGCGGUGGUGGAAGAAAUGGCGAGGGACAUCUCGCGUGUGUGUUGGUGUGUGUAGUCGUUUGUGUGUGUGCUGUUAGCGAGACGACGCGAGAAUCCGUGUCUGAACCGCUGACGAUGGAAUCGCCAAGAGGUAACCGGCGGCCGCCGCGGUUAACUCGAUUAGUGCCUGUUCUCAGAACCAGGCGUUAGCGGAGCGCCUAAACGAGGCGCUCGCGCGUGCGUGAGGUGACGAUCCGCGACAACUGUUGGACCAGGGGGUAGCGAGGGGUGCUCGUCAGAAAACGGAAUAUUCCCGUGCCGUGGUCAAGGCUGGCCUCAACGCCGGGGGAAAGCUGAGGAUUGCGGGGGUCGGAGGCGUCUCUCACCUGUGGCGGAUGCGUUUGAGCGCCCCUGUGAGUCUGCUACCGGGUAAGCAGCUCGAUCUGCACGAGAAUGGAAGCCGAGGGGGUAAGAUGACGGUUCGUCGACGGUCCGCGGCGCGCGAUCCGGUGGAAUAAUUAAUUCCCGGCCGCAAAACUCGGGGCUGACUGGGCAGGGGGCCGAGCAGACGUGGGGCGGCGACGAUCGGUGGAUCUCGCGAAUCUCGCCAAAGAAACGCCGUCUGGGCGACCGGACGACGCGUCCGCAUCCGUCGAGCCCUCGACCCACGGAUUUCCGAGGCAAUAUCCGCGAUGUCCCGGGGUGCCGCGCCCACAGGGCGGCUGGCCAAAAAACCUGGAGCGUGCGUUAAUGUGCCCGAGAAGGAAAAAAUCCACGGAGUGCGCCUCCGGGAACGGGGGUUAGCGUCGCCCACGACCGUCCCAACGCCCAAAAAGACGCUCGGACGGCGGCUCGGAUCGCGUGAGAUGCCAAUUCGAGCGGCAAUUCGGUCGAUCACACGCAUUUCUCCGCUCGACGAAACCCACGCUGCCAUCCCGAACACGAACGCAGAUUACCAGCCGGGGCAGAAACCGACGAUGGCGAAUAGACACGUCGCCGGGUUCGCCGCGCCGGCUUUCGUGCGACCGAAAAAAACGACGGCGAAGCGCUCGGGGGUGUCGUACGUACCUUCGAGUGUUCGAAACGAGCGGUCGGACCACUCGAGCGUGACGUGCGCGAAUGGAUCGCGCGCGCGUUGUUGUGGAGCGAACAUGUUUGUUGCGCCAGUCUGGGGAAUAAAAAUCAGCCGGGGUGGAAAACGUGGCAUUCGGCUGGUCGUAUGGAAGUUCAGUCACAAUAUAUCGCGGAAAACGGAUUUCAUUGGAUUUCGACCGCGACACGGGUUUCAGUGAGAGGGCUGUGAGAAUUGUGCUCUUCUCGACCAAUAAAAACUCGACAAUCAAGGGUUCGAGCGCUGUUGACUCGUUCAAACUUUUCCCGCUCCCCUCUGCUCUGGAGAUGCUGACGUGGGAAAUUGAUUUGGCGGCUGCUUUGAACCGCAUUCGUUGCGGGCAGCACUUGGUCAGGAACGGUCAAAAGGCUGACGGGAUCCUGGGCGAUUUUUUCGCGGAUGAGAUGAUUUUUUCCGAAGCGUGUGUGAAGAUCACAUCGACUGGAUGGCAUGUUUGGGGUAUAGAAGCAUUAUUUCCCAAAAACUCGGCAGCGUCACACUGGUUCGCUGCAAAGGGAAGUGCCCCGCGCUGCCGGGCUGGGCGGGCGGGCAGAGCGAGGAAGGCACCGUCCUUUCUCGGAGGUUACACAUUUCUUUGGAGCG